AGUGAACGCUGGCGAUAGGCCUAACACAUGCAAGUCGAACGGCAGCACAGUAAGAGCUUGCUCUUACGGGUGGCGAGUGGCGGACGGGUGAGGAAUACAUCGGAAUCUACUUUUUCGUGGGGGAUAACGUAGGGAAACUUACGCUAAUACCGCAUACGACCUACGGGUGAAAGCAGGGGAUCUUCGGACCUUGCGCGAUUGAAUGAGCCGAUGUCGGAUUAGCUAGUUGGCGGGGUAAAGGCCCACCAAGGCGACGAUCCGUAGCUGGUCUGAGAGGAUGAUCAGCCACACUGGAACUGAGACACGGUCCAGACUCCUACGGGAGGCAGCAGUGGGGAAUAUUGGACAAUGGGCGCAAGCCUGAUCCAGCCAUACCGCGUGGGUGAAGGAGGCCUUCGGGUUGUAAAGCCCUUUUGUUGGGAAAGAAAAGCAGCAGGUUAAUACCCCGCUGUUCUGACGGUACCCAAAGAAUAAGCACCGGCUAACUUCGUG
Molecule: ribosomal RNA, 492 nt
Filed under: uncultured bacterium
Lineage: Bacteria
Description: partial 16S ribosomal RNA
Rfam family: Bacterial small subunit ribosomal RNA
Source: RNAcentral